RNAcentral lists this transfer RNA (72 nucleotides) under Muntiacus reevesi (Reeves' muntjac). It matches the Rfam family "tRNA". From Rfam's summary of the family: Transfer RNA (tRNA) molecules are approximately 80 nucleotides in length. Their secondary structure includes four short double-helical elements and three loops (D, anti-codon, and T loops). Further hydrogen bonds mediate the characteristic L-shaped molecular structure. tRNAs have two regions of fundamental functional importance: the anti-codon, which is responsible for specific mRNA codon recognition, and the 3' end, to which the tRNAs corresponding amino acid is attached (by aminoacyl-tRNA synthetases). tRNAs cope with the degeneracy of the genetic code in two manners: having more than one tRNA (with a specific anti-codon) for a particular amino acid; and 'wobble' base-pairing, i.e. permitting non-standard base-pairing at the 3rd anti-codon position. Lineage: Eukaryota; Metazoa; Chordata; Mammalia; Artiodactyla; Cervidae. The record is from Rfam by way of RNAcentral. RNAcentral also lists the same sequence under 8 other names.
UCCCUCAUAGCUCAGUUGGUAAAGAAUCUGCCUGCAAUGCAGGAGACCCAGGUUCGAUUCCUGGGUUGGGAA